Molecule: non-coding RNA, 82 nt
Organism: Callithrix jacchus (white-tufted-ear marmoset)
Lineage: Eukaryota; Metazoa; Chordata; Mammalia; Primates; Cebidae
Source: Rfam
AGAGGCAUGAACCUUGCAUACAAUGUAGAUUUCUGUGUUCAUAGGCAACAGCUACAUGUCUGCUGGGUUUCAGGCUACCUGG